Molecule: long non-coding RNA, 1208 nt
Organism: Andrographis paniculata
Lineage: Eukaryota; Viridiplantae; Streptophyta; Magnoliopsida; Lamiales; Acanthaceae
Exons: 3
Source: RefSeq, a predicted model, not a curated record
CGGUAAUGGAAGAGCCUCUGCUGGAGAAGAAACAUGAGCAGGGCGGGUUUAUGGUUGUGCGUAUCCUACUUGCCAUUAACUUCUUUCCCCUUGUGUGCGCCAUUGUCGCCCAUUCCUUCUUGAGUCGAUUCUACACAAUUGGUUUUGGAACCAUCAUCUCAAUCGUGGGAAAAUCUCUUCUGUGUUCUACAACAAUGAUCCCUCAAUUAAGACCUCCGCCAUGCUAUCAUCAUCCGGUGGCGCUUGCAGCACUCCACAGUUUUCCAGUUCAUAUAUCUUUGUUAGUUUCCUGAUAUCUCUUCUGAUUGAGCUAUCCAUUUUAUGUUCAAGAUAACUUAGGAUGGCUAUCAAAUAUGGCAUGCUAGUUGUUUUCUAGGUAGUUAGUGGUGUCUUGUUCUUUUCAGCUUACAAGUUUUACAUGAAGUUGAAAGGUAAAGAAAAUUUGAUUACCAGUUUGAUUCAAGUGGCAGUAGCUUCUUACCAUUAUAGACAUGUGAAAUUAUCGAACAGGACAAACUACAUGUGCCAUUGUGAGCCUGGUUCGACUCUUAUGCAUCCACCCUAAAGUCAGGUACUUAUGUAAUGUUUUUCACCAAUGCCUUUGGGAUUCAUAUAAUUAGGGGGGGAUGUGAAUUCAAUUUCAAUUUAUAAUCAUGUUACAAUGUUGAUUAAAUUAGAUAUACUAUUAUACAAUCAAUAAUAUUUUAGUUAUUGAUCGAUAAAACUGUAGUAGGAUUUUAGUAACAUUUAAAGAACUUAUGUUUAGAAUUUGUACUGUAAGUUAUAGAAUGAGCUUGAUCUUUGUUCGAGAAGUUUGUUAUAGGAACCAAAUGAUCUUUUGCAUGACUGAUGUUAAGCUUCCUUGGUUUGUCGAUGUUGAGAUAUUUAGAUAUAUAAUUUAUGAUUUAGAUUAGUUUUCUCUUAUCUAAUUAGGUCAUUAGUAUUUGAUUAUAUAAAUUAGGUUAGGUUAUUAUUUGUCUAUUGAAUCUGUAUGUAAUAUAAGUAUCAUAUAUGGGACGUGCUAUGUUUGAGUUUCACUGCCACUCAUUCGUCAACGUCCACAUGCAAGAUACAUAUGUAGCAUAUAUUCACAUACACUACACAUGAAGAGCGUGUUGGUUAAUUCCGUAAAAUAUAACAAAAAUGUAGCCGAAGCUUCGAGCUAACAAUCGGACUAUAAUUAGCUUCGGGUACAUUUUUGUUUUAGA